UGCCAGCCGCCGCGGUAAUACGGAGGAUCCAAGCGUUAUCCGGAAUUAUUGGGUUUAAAGGGUCCGCAGGCUGUUUGUUAAGUCAGGGGUGAAAUCCUACCGAUCAACGGUAGAACCGCCUUUGAUACUGCCAGACUUGAGUUAUUGUGAAGUAGUUAGAAUGUGUAGUGUAGCGGUGAAAUGCAUAGAUAUUACACAGAAUACCGAUUGCGAAAGCAGAUUACUAACAAUAUACUGACGCUGAGGGACUAAAGCGUGGGUAGAGAACAGGAUUAGAUA
This 279-nucleotide ribosomal RNA is filed under the name uncultured bacterium. RNAcentral's name for it is "partial 16S ribosomal RNA". It matches the Rfam family "Bacterial small subunit ribosomal RNA", at positions 506 to 784 of the family's 1533-position model. The record is from RNAcentral.